ACGCUCGACACCUACGGGGGCAGCAGUGGGGAAUAUUGCACAAUGGGGGAAACCCUGAUGCAGCGACGCCGCGUGAGCGAAGAAGUAUUUCGGUAUGUAAAGCUCUAUCAGCAGGGAAGAAAUGACGGUACCUGACUAAGAAGCCCCGGCUAACUACGUGCCAGCAGCCGCGGUAAUCUGAGGCGGGCUGGCAAGGC
This 197-nucleotide ribosomal RNA is filed under the name uncultured bacterium. RNAcentral's name for it is "partial 16S ribosomal RNA". It matches the Rfam family "Bacterial small subunit ribosomal RNA", at positions 328 to 539 of the family's 1533-position model. The record is from RNAcentral.